UCUCCGUAGGUGAACCUGCGGAGGGAUCAUUACAGAGUUCAUGCCCUACCGGGUCGAUCUCCCACCCUAUGUUAUUAUUGCUUUGUUGCUUCGGCGGGCCGUUAGGCUCCGGCCCGACUACCGGCCCCGGCUGGUAAGCGCCCGCCAGAGGACCCAAAACCCUGAAUAUUAGUGUCGUCUGAGUACUAUAUAAUAGUUAAAACUUUCAACAACGGAUCUCUUGGUUCUG
RNAcentral lists this unclassified non-coding RNA (229 nucleotides) under plant metagenome. Its description in RNAcentral is "partial contains small subunit ribosomal RNA, internal transcribed spacer 1, and 5.8S ribosomal RNA". The record is from RNAcentral.